ACAGCAAAAAGCAGAAAGUGAGCAGUGGGGCAAACUACGAGCAUUACGCAGAUUUCGACAAAAAGAGUGGUAAAAGCUCCAAUCCCUUCUUCCACCAAAGUAACUAGAUGGGCUAUCUCCGCUUACCCUAAAAGUUGAAUGAGAUUUCUACCAACACCUGGAGGAACCUAGGCACAUCAGCUCACCUUGUACUUCACCAGAGCUUUAAAAUGUCACCACCUUCUCUAACAGAAGACUGAACAAGAGCUGGGCUUCUUAAAGUGUGUUGCUUUUGGAAGACAUUUUGUGCCAAUAAAGUCUUCCUUUUCCCCUACGCAAACACAGUCUCCUGAGUUCCCUGGUCUCAGAUGUCUAGCCUUUUCCAAGCUAGUCUGGGCCCGUCCACAGAAGUCUGUCCCUUGGUUGGAUAUCAUAUUCUUUACAAGCUGUCAAAAUUUGCAUCAUGUGAAAGAAGUGACUCACCAAGGAGAUGUAAUUGCAGUGUAAGCCAAGAGGACGACUGUACAUACAGCGCAACGCAGCUCAGAUGUGACAUCCCUGCUGCCACUGCCACCAUCACCAUCACCGCCAUCACCACCAUCACCACUGUUAUUUGUCUUGAGUGGCUGUGAACUACAUUUUUGCCAAUCUGAAUGAAUUGUUUUUGUAAAUAACAACUAAAUUAACUUUGGUAUUUGAUUAGCACAGCAAAAGCCUUGAGCUGCUUAUUUUAUAAUCAUUCAAAUCACAUCUUUGAUCAGUAGCUUUAUCAUGACGUUUUCAUAAGCAAGAAUUUGCACAGCAUUUCUAAAAUUCAGAAUACUCAGCCAGUAUCGAUAUGAAUAUUAGAACACAAUCAGCAGCUGAAAACAUUUUACCCCCAUUUUACAGACGGGAAUGCAAGCACUACAUUGAAAGACUUCCACAGAACCACAUAUUAAGUUAUUAGCACAGCGUAUACGGCAAUUAUUUCUGUAAAAGUUAAGGAUAUGUUUUAUAGGGAAUAUAUAAAGCAUGUACAUGAAAUUAGGCAUGUUCGUAAUUACUGUGAUGACUCAAGGAAUGUUUCAGCAGGUGUGGAAGCAGAGUCACACCUACUGAACAGGAAAGGGAAUGUGAAAUUGCCUUUUUAUUAUCGUACCAGUUAGGCAAAAAGCCAUUUAGAAAAAUAUACACUAAAAUUUUCUGCCAAGUUAAAUACUUUCUACCACAUUAACUAUUAUUAAAAUAUCUAAGCAAAUCCCCAGGUAUCUUUAUUUUUCCUAAACAGGUACGAUACGCCUCCAGUGUACUGUGCAAUGCUAGUAAAUGGUUACGUACCUUCUGUUAUACAUGUACAUUACAGCACGGAGCCUACAACAGGACAUAUCUGGGUGUAGGAUUCUGUGUAUAUACUACCAGAGGAGCAAAUGAAUGUGCCUCGUGUUGGGUUUGCUGCUGUUAGGAACAACUAAGAACUCUUGCAGGGUUUGGCUGGGGUCCCCAGAGCCAGUAAUUCUCUGCUCCAGAGAGGAAGGAUCAAGGAGCACCGCUGUUAUUUUUCAGCUGGACCAAAGUCUCCAUUCAGCAACAUUUUCCAAAGUUAAAAAAUUUACUUCCAUCAAUUCUAAAUAUAUGUAGAGUUAAAUAUAGUAAACCUCAACUUGAAAAAUCACGGCUAAAGCUAACAUACACUUGGUCCCAGUCUGCACACCAGCUGUGGAUAAAAAUGUGCUGAAAAGUAGAACAUUUUGUCUCUUUUCAUUUAUCAAACAUUCAGUUGCAAACACACAGUCAUCUGUUUAAGAAGAGCUGAGAAUCUGUUAAAAUUAUUCAUUUGAUGGUUUUGUGAAUUUGAAUCACAAUUUUCUUCGGAAUUUAAAUUCUCAGGUAACUUUGCAGAUAGCGCUUUCAAUCACAAACCCUUCAUUACUGGAGGGUUGUUGUUUUUUUUAGUGCUGUUACACAUUUUCACAACAAUUUUUUAUUUAUCUGUUCAAAUAAUGAAUUAAUUCAGACAAGCAAGGUCAUCCUGCAAGUUGUAAAACAUAUCUGUAUCACAUCUGCGGAUCAAUGAAUCGCUCCAACAGUCACUACAGUAGUUAGGCAUAACACAUAGGUAGUGUGGAUUGCAAUAUAUUGUCAAUCUGUCAAGUCUUUGACAUUUUUGUAUUUCACAAGCAAGGAUAUAUAUAUGUUUGCAUGACUAAUUAAAUCCCUAAGAGUUCUGCAAUAAGACAACAGAGAACCCAGGUGG
This is a long non-coding RNA of Gallus gallus (chicken), 2215 nucleotides long. NCBI's taxonomy places the organism in Eukaryota, Metazoa, Chordata, Aves, Galliformes, Phasianidae. The record is from Ensembl.